Molecule: ribosomal RNA, 459 nt
Filed under: Veillonella parvula
Lineage: Bacteria; Bacillati; Bacillota; Negativicutes; Veillonellales; Veillonellaceae
Description: bacterial SSU rRNA
Rfam family: Bacterial small subunit ribosomal RNA
Source: RNAcentral
GACGAACGCUGGCGGCGUGCUUAACACAUGCAAGUCGAACGAAGAGCGAUGGAAGCUUGCUUCUAUCAAUCUUAGUGGCGAACGGGUGAGUAACGCGUAAUCAACCUGCCCUUCAGAGGGGGACAACAGUUGGAAACGACUGCUAAUACCGCAUACGAUCUAAUCUCGGCAUCGAGGAUAGAUGAAAGGUGGCCUCUACAUGUAAGCUAUCACUGAAGGAGGGGAUUGCGUCUGAUUAGCUAGUUGGAGGGGUAACGGCCCACCAAGGCGAUGAUCAAUAGCCGGUCUGAGAGGAUGAACAGCCACAUUGGGACUGAGACACGGCCCAGACUCCUACGGGAGGCAGCAGUGGGGAAUCUUCCGCAAUGGACGAAAGUCUGACGGAGCAACGCCGCGUGAGUGAUGACGGCCUUCGGGUUGUAAAGCUCUGUUAAUCGGGACGAAAGGCCUUCUUGCGAA